RNAcentral lists this ribosomal RNA (422 nucleotides) under uncultured bacterium. Its description in RNAcentral is "bacterial SSU rRNA". It matches the Rfam family "Bacterial small subunit ribosomal RNA", at positions 362 to 776 of the family's 1533-position model. The record is from RNAcentral.
UUUUGGACAAUGGGCGCAAGCCUGAUCCAGCAAUGCCGCGUGCAGGAAGAAGGCCUUCGGGUUGUAAACUGCUUUUGUCAGGGAAGAAAUCUUCUGGGCUAAUACCCCGGGAGGAUGACGGUACCUGAAGAAUAAGCACCGGCUAACUACGUGCCAGCAGCCGCGGUAAUACGUAGGGUGCGAGCGUUAAUCGGAAUUACUGGGCGUAAAGCGUGCGCAGGCGGCUUUGCAAGACAGAUGUGAAAUCCCCGGGCUCAACCUGGGAACUGCAUUUGUGACUGCAAGGCUAGAGUACGGCAGAGGGGGAUGGAAUUCCGCGUGUAGCAGUGAAAUGCGUAGAUAUGCGGAGGAACACCAAUGGCGAAGGCAAUCCCCUGGGCCUGUACUGACGCUCAUGCACGAAAGCGUGGGGAGCAAACAGG